RNAcentral lists this ribosomal RNA (434 nucleotides) under uncultured bacterium. RNAcentral describes it as "partial 16S ribosomal RNA". It matches the Rfam family "Bacterial small subunit ribosomal RNA", at positions 29 to 507 of the family's 1533-position model. The record is from RNAcentral.
AGCGAACGCUGGCGGCAGGCCUAACACAUGCAAGUCGAACGAACCUUUCGGGGUUAGUGGCGGACGGGUGAGUAACACGUGGGAACGUGCCUUUAGGUUCGGAAUAACUCAGGGAAACUUGUGCUAAUACCGAAUGUGCCCUUCGGAGGAAAGAUUAAUCGCCUUUAGAGCGGCCCGCGUCUGAUUAGCUAGUUGGUUGAGGUAAUGGCUCACCAAGGCGACGAUCAGUAGCUGGUCUGAGAGGAUGAUCAGCCACAUUGGGACUGAGACACGGCCCAAACUCCUACGGGAGGCAGCAGUGGGGAAUCUUGCGCAAUGGGCGAAAGCCUGACGCAGCCAUGCCGCGUGAAUGAUGAAGGUCUUAGGAUUGUAAAAUUCUUUCACCGGGGACGAUAAUGACGGUACCCGGAGAAGAAGCCCCGGCUAACUUCGUG